GAAAUUAAUAAUCUGUGGUGAUAAACAGAAUGUAAAAUUUGUUGGAAUGUUCAUUUUAGAACAGGACAGUGCAGAAGUACCCCAGUGACACUGAUGAAUGGUUUUUCUGACCAAAGCCAAGACAAAAAAUGAAUAGCCUUACCUGUGUUCUUAAAUCUCAGCAUCUUUUGGUGGUUUUGAUGCAAUUCUUUUCUGCUUUUCCUAGAAAUAAAUGGACUCUUUGUCUCUUAAAGGGCUAGGGCUCCAGGGGCUUUAAUAGUCAGUUUCUCUUUAGAGUUGCACAAGACUUACUUGCUUUCAAUACGAGGUUUUCUGGUUGUCUUCCCAGUCCACAACUAUCACUAUUAAUACCGGGAUGUAGUGGUCACCUGUGUGAGAAGUUCCCAUUGGUUUGUGCUUUGCUCUUGAUGCACUUUGUGUUUAUUUUACUUUUGAUAUAUUCGAGUUAAUUGACUGUGAUUUGAAAUAAUCAGUUAGGUGUUUGUGCUAACUACGCAAAAUGCUUUUUAAGCACAGAUUUUUGUUCCUGGUUAUGGUCUGUUUCCUGCAGGUGUCCAAGUGUUUGGAUGUCCACUGGAAGAGUUAGCAUUGGAAGGGGAGUCUGAUGGUUAAGGAUGUUAAAGUUCAGAUUUUGUUUUCCCAUCAAUUUCCUGUGGGGCUUUGGAAAAUGCUACUUAUGUCUAUAGAAAUAUAAAACAAAGCAGAAAAAAAGUCCUAAUUUUAUAAGUUGCACAGUGCUGCACUGGUAAUCUGAUCUAAAUAAUUUGGAUCUACAUUACCAUAUUUUCACUUUCUGGUCUAAUUGCAAAUAAAAAAGUACAUAAUUUUCUUCAUUGUCCUGAACUUUGCUGUCAGUACUUCCAGAUUCUUUUGUUCUGGAUGCCUGAACAAGUUCAAGUGUGUCAGUUGUUUUGUAAACUCCCUGUUGAUAAUGCCAUUGUUAUUAUUCAAAGGAUUGAAUUAAACCUUUCUCUCAAAAGGACCAGGAGCUGGGACAGUGAAAUAGACUUCAUUGUCCAGGAUAAAAGUGAUACCAUUAGUACUGGAAAUAAAAUGCAAAUACUUCCAAAUUGGAGACACAGAAACAGGAAUAUUUGUGUUCUAUGAUAUUGGUGUCCUCAGAGAUUUUUCUAGACUUGAACUAGUGCUCUUUAUUUUUUUACAGAACCAGAUACACCCAGCGAAUCUUGUUUUGUUUUGUUUUUAAUGAGUGGGAGAUGAUGUCGACGUUACACUUCAACAGCCCAAAAGUAUUUUACUAAUUAGUAAUCUUUAAGGACUGUGAGUUAACUGCAGCAAUAACUGUCCAACAGACCUCAGGCACAAAAAAAUAAAGGAGGUAUGAUUUGUCAGUGUACUUCUGAACCUGUAUAAACAACUUCUGUCUCCUGACACCGGAUGAUUAGUGUAAGUUGUUGCAUGGCUUCAGGCAGACCGCCUUUCUUUUCAACUCUUGGAAAUGUCUAGCUUGUUCUAUUCCAGUAGUUGUAGCAUGGAAAAACAAUGGUUUGGGAAGAUUACCAUAUGUGUAUUUUGCCUUCAGCUGAAAAAAAGACCUAAUAAAUGCUUGUUUCUGUAAGCCCUUGGGUAAAAAGCAAUGAAGCCACUUAAAUAAAAAACUAAAACAAAACCAAAAAAACACAACUAAUACGGAAUAAACUAAUUUCAAAUGUUCACUUGGUAAUACUUUCAUCAAAAAUUAUAUUCAAAAUGCAGAAAAUUACCUCAUAACUAGUCUGCAGUGUUGUCCCCAAGUUCCAACUGUUACUGUGAUAAAGGAGACUUCAUCAUUUUUACUUACAAAGUGUACAGUGUCCUGGGAGUUAUUGGAGUUAUAUAUAUGGAUUAUAUUUUGUUCAGUUUUGUUCCUGCCCCAUUGAUCCCUCUUUUAGCUAGUAUUUAGUCCUAAAACUCUUCAACGUGCUUUUUGGUGUUUUGGGUUUUGUUUUGUUUUCCAGAUAGGUACUACUCUUGCUUUUGUACAAAAAUCCCUUAGUCCACAUGGACCUUUGAUUAAUGCAGUGAGAUGUCUGUGUUUUGUUUGGAUGUUGUUAUUUCAGUUCUCAGGUUGUAGUGAGGAGCUUAAUGAAGUCCUGUGGGUAAUUUAAAUGUGGGAUGUUACCCGUCCUAUUACUAAAAUAUGUAGCUUUUAAACAGAUUACAGAUAAAAAGUGAGGUCUUACUUUGAUCCAGUUAGGUGAUGAUGAUGGUUAUUUUCUCAGUGCAUGGGAAAUGCAAGUUCUGUUGCAUUCCUUAAUCAUUCUUGUAGUUUUUGAUUAUACAUUGAACUCAAAAGCUUAAUACAGUAAGAUUUUAAAUACUUGUAUUAAACUUGUUAUUGGUAUUUGACUCCUUUUUCUAAACAUGGUAAUCAGUAGACAUAAGUUUUCAAAACCUGAAUCAACAAAGU
Long non-coding RNA from Strigops habroptila (Kakapo), 2410 nucleotides. RefSeq lists it as uncharacterized. The record is from RefSeq and is a predicted model, not a curated record. NCBI's taxonomy places the organism in Eukaryota, Metazoa, Chordata, Aves, Psittaciformes, Psittacidae. The transcript is spliced from 2 exons.